UACGUCGGGCGCAAGCGUUGUCCGGAAUUAUUGGGCGUAAAGAGCUCGUAGGCGGUCUGUCGCGUCUGCCGUGAAAACCCGAGGCUUAACCUCGGGCUGGCGGUGGAUACGGACAGACUAGAGGUAGGUAGGGGAGAAUGGAAUUCCCGGUGUAGCGGUGAAAUGCGCAGAUAUCAGGAGGAACACCGGUGGCGAAGGCGGGUCUCUGGGCCGAUACUGACGCUGAGGAGCGAAAGCGUGGGGAGCGAACAGG
This 253-nucleotide ribosomal RNA is filed under the name uncultured bacterium. RNAcentral describes it as "partial 16S ribosomal RNA". It matches the Rfam family "Bacterial small subunit ribosomal RNA", at positions 524 to 776 of the family's 1533-position model. The record is from RNAcentral.